RNAcentral lists this long non-coding RNA (264 nucleotides) under Hordeum vulgare. RNAcentral describes it as "long non-coding RNA (HVUL_LNC004558)". The record is from RNAcentral. Lineage: Eukaryota; Viridiplantae; Streptophyta; Magnoliopsida; Poales; Poaceae.
CGCGAGCCACCGCCGUCCUGCCGGUCCCUAUCCCUGUUGGUGCACGAAUCCCGCUUAAUGCCCGUCCACCUAGGCUUUGGCCGGUGCAUCUUUCAGCGUCAUUGUGGCUCCUGCGCCGUCCAACUACGACCGUUGCGUUGUCCAACCUCAUCCGCAUGGGCAGUCCCUCCUUGUUCACUCGCUUGGCAGCAGAGGUGGGAACUCCCCCUUUGCCUCUCCUCAACCUCACGGACUCCUUCUGGAUUGUCGACGGGCCACUGGCAG